UAUAUUGUUAACAUCAAGUAUCUUCAAUGCAUGGCAACAUAAGAUUCCGAGAAAUUCAAACUUCUUGCAGCUGCACCUGACUUUAUCUUCUGUUGGAGAAAAUUUUACAAUAUGCUCAUGGUGCUUACUGUGAACUUUUAAUUUGUACACCAUUUUAGCAUCAAUAUCACCACAGUAGUAUAGGUCACAGUUCAAUGUUUGCAACACUUGUUCCUGAAACACUUUAAAUAUUGCUGGAGUAUAAAUUCUUGUUGCUUGCCUUAAUAUUGUCAAAUCUGCUUUUGGCCAUGGUGUACUUUGUGUUCCCUUCAAUUCAUUGUUCAUGCUCUCACUUCUCUGUGUUCCACUCAUAUCAGCAGAAAAUGUGUUUCUCCCAUACACUAAUGCCCAUUGCACUUUUUUCUGAAAUAGCCUCUCAAGCCAUUUGUUCUCCUGCAG
Molecule: small RNA, 438 nt
Filed under: Oryza sativa Japonica Group (Japanese rice)
Lineage: Eukaryota; Viridiplantae; Streptophyta; Magnoliopsida; Poales; Poaceae
Description: sRNA Os11g0263466
Source: RNAcentral